UAUCACUAAUGGAGUUUAACAAGAUCACAGCCAGCUGAUCCUUAGAUAAUUUCUCAUCACAGUUGGCAAGGUCUUGGGUCAAUUUUGUAAAUUUGUCCAAGUUUUCAUCCAAGUCAACCGAAGGGUUCAUUUUGAAAGAAAAGAAUUGUUUUAGCAAAAAAUAUUUGUUUGGAACAGUUUUUGGCUCAUACUGAGCUUUCAAUUUGGUCCACAAUUUUUCAGUAGUUUUAGUUUCACACCUGAUCAUAUUGUCCGAAAGGUACAAGAAAAUAGUACUCCGUGCUAUUUAUUCUAACUUAGCUCUUUUAGCAACAGACAUUUCAGCAGGCCAUGAAUUAUCUAGGGCUUUAGCACAUUUCGUUUGCAUUAAGAUAGCUCUCAUUUUCUGGCUUCACGUAUUAAAGUCCCCCCUACCAUUAAACAUGCUCAAUUCAAACUUAGUGGUAGCCAUGACAAGAUUCACAAGAAAGUUCACAGUGCACAAGUUUGAUAUCAAGAACACACAAUAAAAAUACUGCAGGCAAACUAGGGGAUCAGGGGCCAAUGACCAAUGCUCUUAUAUAAUUUUCACAAACAGUAAACACUUAACACUAAGUAUAAGAGGCAGAAUCACAAAGAACAGAGAUAUCAAUUCCUAUAGACUCUACUAUAAAAACUAAUUACAGAAUGCAGGAAAGAUCUCACCAAACGAGUUUGAUAAAACUCAAUUUCCACCAGCCAAUGUUU
This 726-nucleotide long non-coding RNA is filed under the name Olea europaea subsp. europaea. Lineage: Eukaryota; Viridiplantae; Streptophyta; Magnoliopsida; Lamiales; Oleaceae. The record is from RNAcentral.